UAGGGAAUCUUCCACAAUGGGCGAAAGCCUGAUGGAGCAACGCCGCGUGGGUGAAGAAGGUCUUCGGAUCGUAAAGCUCUGUUGUUGGAGAAGAACGUGCGUGAGAGUAACUGUUCACGCAGUGACGGUAUCCAACCAGAAAGUCACGGCUAACUACGUGCCAGCAGCCGCGGUAAUACGUAGGUGGCAAGCGUUAUCCGGAUUUAUUGGGCGUAAAGGGAACGCAGGCGGUCCUUUAAGUCUGAUGUGAAAGCCUUCGGCUUAACCGGAGUAGUGCAUUGGAAACUGGGAGACUUGAGUGCUGAAGAGGACAGUGGAACUCCAUGUGUAGCGGUGGAAUGCGUAGAUAUAUGGAAGAACACCAGUGGCGAAGGCGGCUGUCUGGUCUGCAACUGACGCUGAGGCUCGAAAGCAUGGGUAGCGAACAGG
This 429-nucleotide ribosomal RNA is filed under the name uncultured bacterium. Its description in RNAcentral is "bacterial SSU rRNA". It matches the Rfam family "Bacterial small subunit ribosomal RNA", at positions 355 to 776 of the family's 1533-position model. The record is from RNAcentral.